Molecule: ribosomal RNA, 252 nt
Filed under: uncultured bacterium
Lineage: Bacteria
Description: partial 16S ribosomal RNA
Rfam family: Bacterial small subunit ribosomal RNA
Source: RNAcentral
UACGUAGGGGGCAAGCGUUAUCCGGAUUUACUGGGUGUAAAGGGAGCGUAGACGGCAGAGCAAGUCUGAAGUGAAAGCCCGCGGCCCAACUGCGGGACUGCUUUGGAAACUGCCCGGCUAGAGUGCUGGAGAGGUAAGCGGAAUUCCUAGUGUAGCGGUGAAAUGCGUAGAUAUUAGGAGGAACACCAGUGGCGAAGGCGGCUUACUGGACAGUAACUGACGUUGAGGCUCGAAAGCGUGGGAGCAAACAGG